Molecule: transfer RNA, 82 nt
Filed under: Saxibacter everestensis
Lineage: Bacteria; Bacillati; Actinomycetota; Actinomycetes; Micrococcales; Brevibacteriaceae
Description: Brevibacteriaceae bacterium ZFBP1038 tRNA-Leu
Rfam family: tRNA
About the family: Transfer RNA (tRNA) molecules are approximately 80 nucleotides in length. Their secondary structure includes four short double-helical elements and three loops (D, anti-codon, and T loops).
Source: RNAcentral
GCGCGAGUGGCGAAAUUGGCAUACGCGCUAGGUUUAGGUCCUAGUGUCUUCGGACGUGUGGGUUCAAGUCCCACCUCGCGCA